AGAGCCUCGGAAUGAACUAGAAUAUAGAUCAAGAUACUGAAGGUUGCUAUUAUUAAAUAACCAGCUGGGGAUUGUGGAAUUGAAGUUGUUAUUGCUAAGAUCGAGGACCUCAAGAGAUGUAAGAUUGACACGUGAAAACAUGACCAGUGAAGGAAAGCUUACAGUAAGUCAAAUGUAAUUCUAGUAGGGAAGGAAGCUUGUUUGUUGACUGGAACCAAUUGUCACACUUGUCCAGGAGCACAUACCCCAUGUUUAAGUAUUUCAAAGAAGAUGGAAAGUGGAGGCUGUCGAUCGCAAAUCCAUAAUUAUAACAGAGAUUAAGAUACUGCAAGUUUGAAAGGUUUCCAAGAUGAAGGGAAACCUUUCCCUGGAGUGAGGCCCAGGAAAGGUCGAGC
This 395-nucleotide unclassified non-coding RNA is filed under the name Hevea brasiliensis (rubber tree). Lineage: Eukaryota; Viridiplantae; Streptophyta; Magnoliopsida; Malpighiales; Euphorbiaceae. The record is from RNAcentral.